GUAAAAAUUGUUGUUCAUUGUUAGUUCAUGACACCUAAUGAACUAAUUGAAGCUUAUUCUAAAAUCUUACCAAAUAAUUACUGAGCUACACCUUUGUGUUGAGAUCUGACAGUGUGAAAGCAUUCAGGCGUUAGGCUGAGCAGUCUCAGGUGACGAGAAGAUGAAUUAAAUCCUCAUGAUUAAUAACAUGCUCAUGUUUUAUUCAGAUACACAAGCUUGACUCCUUACAACAUUAUCCAAUCAAAGGAUGCAAAGCUGCCCCGUCGUUAAAUUCAACUGACCCUCUGGGCUUCCUAAUGAUCUGAGCUGCUCAGGAACAAUUAAAGACAAUUAUUUGACAUGGAACCCUGAGAACCUGCUGAGAAAAAAUAAUCAUCUCAAGCCUAUGAAAGCACACCUCAGUACACUCAUUUGCACUCAGUCCAUAAAAUGAAUAUUUAUAUUGCUUCUUUAUCACAGAUAUUCAAGUUUCGUCAUGAUGCAUGCUGCAUGCUAAACUACUACAGGCAAGAAAAAGGUUGCCAUCUUCUGGAUAACCAGAGAAACUACAACCCAUCACCAUGAAUAAACAGCUAAAGACUUGCGAAGUCUGCCUCCCUAAAUUAUUAAAUGCUUUAAACUACUCUUGAUGAGUAAAGACUCAUUCUAUUCGAUCUGAAAUCAGUUUGCCACCAGAGGAAGGACACCGACCCAGCCCCUCUCUUUAUCUUUAUUCUCUCUUAAAACCACCGGACUGAUCAUCAGCAGGCAUCAAAGCGCUGCCACACACCGGCCGGCCAGACACCACAUAUCCGAUUCCUUUUGAAAGCUUCUGACAAACAGACACACGUUCUCUCCUCCUCGCUCAUGCCAAAACAGAUCACACUUCUUAAAGACUGUGGCCAUUGGUACUUCAGAGAUUAGAAAGUUGAUAUAGUUUGGGUCUGGCUCUGUAUUUCCCCCUCGGGUGCAGGUGAUUCAGUGUGGGGAGAGGAUUCUUUACCCCUUAUCAAAUAUGAAUCAGCAAUUACUCAACUGUGGAUUCGAGCAGAGCGGAAAGAUAAGUGCCAAGCCUCAUUAAAUAUGAAUCAAGAAUAUUCAUCUGAUAUCACUGUGGGAGAAACCUCUCCAGGACUGUUUUAUUUAGCUUUCUUGUACAAUUUGACUCUAUACACAAACCCCAAACUACUCCAGAGAAGCAGAACAGCUGAAGAUUGACUAAGUGUGUCACGCUGCUAUAG
Long non-coding RNA from Cyprinus carpio (common carp), 1220 nucleotides. RefSeq lists it as uncharacterized. The transcript has 3 exons. Lineage: Eukaryota; Metazoa; Chordata; Actinopteri; Cypriniformes; Cyprinidae. The record is from RefSeq and is a predicted model, not a curated record.